Molecule: transfer RNA, 45 nt
Filed under: Paratenuisentis ambiguus
Lineage: Eukaryota; Metazoa; Acanthocephala; Eoacanthocephala; Neoechinorhynchida; Tenuisentidae
Description: transfer RNA-Pro
Source: RNAcentral
UCACUAAGAAAAGGUUGGCUUUGGGUGUCGAUAAGAUUUAGUGAG